RNAcentral lists this long non-coding RNA (358 nucleotides) under Callithrix jacchus (white-tufted-ear marmoset). Its description in RNAcentral is "lncRNA (ENSCJAG00000081487.1)". The record is from RNAcentral. Lineage: Eukaryota; Metazoa; Chordata; Mammalia; Primates; Cebidae.
CCUGAGCCUUAAAAAAAAAAAUCUGUCUUUACAGCAUCUAAGAUUUACCAUAUUUUCCAUUACUCUCCAUUAACUAGCUUUGAAUUUUAACCUUAUCUGACAAAGAGUUGGGAUACUGGACUCCACAAUUCCAGGAAUAGAUUACAUUAUUAAACACCAAAAUUGAAGCAUUUCUCAGUUUUAGAAGGAAGAAGAAUGUUAAUACAAUUUAUCAAAUAUGUCAUGAAUUUGUUUGGGAGAACUGUAUAUGAAUGAAUAUGAUGAGUCAAGAAUUAUUAACUUCUAAAUAUUUCACUGAGUAUUCCAGUGAAUGCAGCCAAACUUAAUUUAGGUAAAGAUGGUUAAAAACAUAUUCCUC